Monodelphis domestica (gray short-tailed opossum) is the source of this 59-nucleotide microRNA precursor. Ensembl annotates it as mdo-mir-7398j. Lineage: Eukaryota; Metazoa; Chordata; Mammalia; Didelphimorphia; Didelphidae. The record is from Ensembl.
UGUGUAGAGGGGAGUGAGGGUACCACGCACUAUCGGGUAACCUUUUCUACUCUCACAGU